CGGACGGGUGAGUAACGCGUGGGUAACCUGCCUUGUACGUGGGGACAACAGUAGAAAUGACUGCUAAUACCGCAUAAGCGCACAGUAUCGCAUGAUACAGUGUGAAAAACUCCGGUGGUACAAGAUGGACCCGCGUCUGAUUAGCUAGUUGGUAAGGUAACGGCUUACCAAGGCGACGAUCAGUAGCCGACCUGAGAGGGUGACCGGCCACAUUGGGACUGAGACACGGCCCAA
This 234-nucleotide ribosomal RNA is filed under the name uncultured bacterium. RNAcentral's name for it is "partial 16S ribosomal RNA". It matches the Rfam family "Bacterial small subunit ribosomal RNA", at positions 99 to 334 of the family's 1533-position model. The record is from RNAcentral.